UCCUACGGGAGGCAGCAGUGGGGAAUAUUGGACAAUGGGGGGAACCCUGAUCCAGCCAUGCCGCGUGUGUGAAGAAGGCCCUCGGGUUGUAAAGCACUUUCAGCGAGGGAGAACGCCUAGCGGUUAAUACCCGCUAGGAAAGACAUCACUCGCAGAAGAAGCACCGGCUAACUCCGUGCCAGCAGCCGCGGUAAUACGGAGGGUGCAAGCGUUAAUCGGAAUUACUGGGCGUAAAGCGCGCGUAGGUGGCUUGAUAAGCCGGUUGUGAAAGCCCCGGGCUCAACCUGGGAACGGCAUCCGGAACUGUCAAGCUAGAGUGCAGGAGAGGAAGGUAGAAUUCCCGGUGUAGCGGUGAAAUGCGUAGAGAUCGGGAGGAAUACCAGUGGCGAAGGCGGCCUUCUGGACUGACACUGACACUGAGGUGCGAAAGCGUGGGUAGCAAACAGGAUUAGAUACCCUGGUAGUCCACGCCGUAAACGAUGUCGACCAGCCGUUGGGUGCCUAGCGCACUUUGUGGCGAAGUUAACGCGAUAAGUCGACCGCCUGGGGAGUACGGCCGCAAGGUUAAAACUCAAAUGAAUUGACGG
Molecule: ribosomal RNA, 587 nt
Filed under: uncultured bacterium
Lineage: Bacteria
Description: bacterial SSU rRNA
Rfam family: Bacterial small subunit ribosomal RNA
Source: RNAcentral